UCCCAGGUGGUCUAGUGGUUAGGAUUCGUGGCUCUCACCCACGCUGCCCGGGUCCGAUUCCCGGUCUGGAAA
Ciona savignyi (Pacific transparent sea squirt) is the source of this 72-nucleotide non-coding RNA. The record is from Rfam. NCBI's taxonomy places the organism in Eukaryota, Metazoa, Chordata, Ascidiacea, Phlebobranchia, Cionidae.